UGAGGUGACUGAGUGGCGGACGGGUGAGUAACGCGUGGGUAACCUACCCUAUACAGGGGGAUAACAGUUGGAAACGACUGCUAAUACCACAUAAGCGCACAGGACCGCAUGGGUCUAGUGUGAAAAACUCCGGUGGUAUAGGAUGGACCCGCGUCUGAUUAGCUAGUUGGUGAGGUAACGGCUCACCAAGGCGACGAUCAGUAGCCGACCUGAGAGGGUGACCGGCCACAUUGGGACUGAGACAGGCCCAAACUCCUACGGGAGGCAGCAGUGGGGAAUAUUGCACAAUGGGCGAAAGCCUGAAUGCAGCGACGCCGCGUGAACGAAGAAGUAUUUCGGUAUGUAAAGUUCUAUCAGCAGGGAAGAAAAUGACGGUACCUGACUAAGAAGCUCCGGCUAAAUACGUGCCAGCCGCCGC
This 418-nucleotide ribosomal RNA is filed under the name uncultured bacterium. RNAcentral describes it as "bacterial SSU rRNA". It matches the Rfam family "Bacterial small subunit ribosomal RNA", at positions 83 to 518 of the family's 1533-position model. The record is from RNAcentral.